UGGGGAAUUUUGUACAAUGGGCGCAAGCCUGAUCCAGCCAUUCCGCGUGCAGGACGAAGGCCUUCGGGUUGUAAACUGCUUUUGUACGGAACGAAAAGGCUCUGGCUAAUACCUGGGGCUCAUGACGGUACCGUAAGAAUAAGCACCGGUUAACUACGUGCCAGCAGCCGCGGUAAUACGUAGGGUGCAAGCGUUAAUCGGAAUUACUGGGCGUAAAGCGUGCGCAGGCGGUUAUGUAAGACAGAGGUGAAAUCCCCGGGCUCAACCUGGGAACUGCCUUUGUGACUGCAUCGCUGGAGUACGGCAGAGGGGGAUGGAAUUCCGCGUGUAGCAGUGAAAUGCGUAGAUAUGCGGAGGAACACCGAUGGCGAAGGCAAUCCCCUGAGCCUGUACUGACGCUCAUGCACGAAAGCGUGGGGAGCA
Molecule: ribosomal RNA, 423 nt
Filed under: uncultured bacterium
Lineage: Bacteria
Description: bacterial SSU rRNA
Rfam family: Bacterial small subunit ribosomal RNA
Source: RNAcentral